RNAcentral lists this unclassified non-coding RNA (300 nucleotides) under uncultured Rhizophagus. Its description in RNAcentral is "sequence contains 5.8S rRNA gene, ITS2". The stretch from base 1 to 65 matches the Rfam family "5.8S ribosomal RNA", at positions 84 to 154 of the family's 154-position model. The record is from RNAcentral. Lineage: Eukaryota; Fungi; Glomeromycota; Glomeromycetes; Glomerales; Glomeraceae.
GUGAGUCAUCGAAUCUUUGAACGCAAAUUGCACUCUCUUCGGAGAGUAUGCCUGUUUGAGGGUCAGUAUUAAUAAAAAUCGGUGUGUUGCUCCUUUGUGACGCUCCGGAGUUUGGGUCAUCUUAAUAUCCUUUAANGGUUUUAAGAGGCUUAAAAUUGACUUUUUUUUGCGCAUUUUUUAGAUGUACAUAAAUCUUUUUUUUUAUUCGUCCGUCUUAAUGCUCAAGAUCCUAUUAGAUGCGACCAUAUCGAGUGGUUUCGUGUCUAUAAAAUUUUCAUGAUUUGACCUCAAAUCAGGUAG